Molecule: transfer RNA, 89 nt
Filed under: candidate division WWE3 bacterium
Lineage: Bacteria; candidate division WWE3
Description: tRNA-Ser
Rfam family: tRNA
About the family: Transfer RNA (tRNA) molecules are approximately 80 nucleotides in length. Their secondary structure includes four short double-helical elements and three loops (D, anti-codon, and T loops).
Source: RNAcentral
GGAGGGGUCGCAUAGUGGCCUAGUGCGUUGGUCUUGAAAACCAAUAUAGCCUUUGGCUAUCGUGGGUUCGAAUCCCACCCCCUCCGCCA